Molecule: long non-coding RNA, 658 nt
Filed under: Glycine max (soybean)
Lineage: Eukaryota; Viridiplantae; Streptophyta; Magnoliopsida; Fabales; Fabaceae
Description: long non-coding RNA (GMAX_LNC002455)
Source: RNAcentral
UGAACGUCACAUUAAUACUUUUUUUCUUCAUUCACUCUCUUUUGUACUUUCUCUCUUACACUUGCCACCAUUUUCUUCUCGGAUCAUAGACUCCAAGCUUUUGUCUUCAAACCCUAACCCUACCCCAAGCCCCAACCUCACCCUCCCCGCAGUUUCCCGCUCUUCUCCUUCCUCCACUCCGUACGUCGUUGUGCCGCUACAAAAUCACCACCAAAGUCGCUCCCCUUAGUUUUUCACCCUUCUUUAGCAAAUAUUUUAGGGAAUGGAUCGAAUCGGAGUUAACAAGGAUGAAGAGAAAUAGAGAAAUUUUCAUCUCAUUUGUUCAAAUGCAUGGAUUUGGCUUGUGUUUUUUAGAUCUGGGUUUGUUUAGAUCUUAUGUUUUUCAUAUCUGAGGUUUUUAUGCAAAAUGGGUUUUUUGCAAUCUAAUCUUCUUCUUCUUCCUUUCUUUUGAUAAUUUUACUCAAUAUUGGGACUUUAGGUAUUAUUGGUUGUGCCUGGUUGUGUGUUUCCUUUUUUUUCCAAUACUGUUAAAUGUUGAAGGUGUGAAUUUAUGCUCACCAAGUGCUUGUUAAAAUUCGAAUAUCUGAAUGUUCUAGGUUUUGGGUUGUCGAUGUUCUUGCGUUUCUGUUUCUAUUUUUCUAGGUUGUGGAUGCUUGCA